AUGCACGCUGGCGGCGUGCCUCAUACCUGCAAGUCGCGCGAACGGACGAGAAGCUUGCUUCUCUGAUGUUAGCGGCGGACGGGUGAGUAACACGUGGAUAACCUACCUAUAAGACUGGGAUAACUUCAGGAAACCGGAGCUAAUACCGGAUAAUAUUUUGAACCGCAUGGUUCAAAAGUGAAAGACGGUCUUGCUGUCACUUAUAGAUGGAUCCGCGCUGCAUUAGCUAGUUGGUAAGGUAACGGCUUACCAAGGCAACGAUGCAUAGCCGACCUGAGAGGGUGAUCGGCCACACUGGAACUGAGACACGGUCCAGACUCCUACGGGAGGCAGCAGUAGGGAAUCUUCCGCAAUGGGCGAAAGCCUGACGGAGCAACGCCGCGUGAGUGAUGAAGGUCUUCGGAUCGUAAAACUCUGUUAUUAGGGAAGAACAUAUGUGUAAGUAACUGUGCACAUCUUGACGGUACCUAAUCAGAAAGCCACGGCUAACUACGUG
RNAcentral lists this ribosomal RNA (496 nucleotides) under uncultured bacterium. Its description in RNAcentral is "partial 16S ribosomal RNA". It matches the Rfam family "Bacterial small subunit ribosomal RNA", at positions 29 to 507 of the family's 1533-position model. The record is from RNAcentral.